AGAGUUUGAUCAUGGCUCAGAACGUACGCUGGCGGCACGCCUAACACAUGCAAGUCGAACGAAGUAGCAAUACUUAGUGGCAGACGGGUGAGUAACAUGUGGGUAUCUGCCCUUUGGCCUGGAAUAACACGAGGAAACUUGUGCUAAUACCGGAUAAGUCUUUACGGAGAAAGCUUUAUGCACCAUUGGAUGAGCCCGCACUUGAUUAGUUUGUUGGUGGGGUAAUGGCCUACCAAGACUGUGAUCAAUAGCUGAUUUGAGAGGAUGAUCAGCCACAUUGGGACUGAGACACGGCCCAAACUCCUACGGGAGGCAGCAGUGGGGAAUCUUGCACAAUGGAGGAAACUCUGAUGCAGCGAUGCCGCGUGAGUGAAGAAGGCCCUUGGGUUGUAAAGCUCUUUCGUCGGGGAAGAAAAUGACUGUACCCGAAUAAGAAGGUCCGGCUAACUUCGUGCCAGCAGCCGCGGUAAUACGAAGGGACCUAGCGUAGUUCGGAAUUACUGGGCUUAAAGAGUUCGUAGGUGGUUGAAAAAGUUGGUGGUGAAAUCCCAGAGCUUAACUCUGGAACUGCCAUCAAAACUUUUCAGCUAGAGUUUGAUAGAGGAAAGCAGAAUUUCUAGUGUAGAGGUGAAAUUCGUAGAUAUUAGAAAGAAUACCAAUUGCGAAGGCAGCUUUCUGGAUCAUUACUGACACUGAGGAACGAAAGCAUGGGUAGCGAAGAGGAUUAGAUACCCUCGUAGUCCAUGCCGUAAACGAUGUGUGUUAGACGUUGGAAAUUUAUUUUCAGUGUCGCAGCGAAAGCGAUAAACACACCGCCUGGGGAGUACGACCGCAAGGUUAAAACUCAAAUGAAUUGACGGGGACCCGCACAAGUAGUGGAGCAUGUGGUUUAAUUCGAAGAUACGCGCAGAACCUUACCAACACUUGACAUGUUCGUCGCGACUUUAAGAGAUUAAAGUUUUCGGUUCGGCCGGACGAAACACAGGUGCUGCAUGGCUGUCGUCAGCUCGUGUCGUGAGAUGUUGGGUUAAGUCCCGCAACGAGCGCAACCCUCACUUUUAGUUGCCAUCAUUUAGUUGGGCACUCUGAAAGAACUGCCAGUGAUAAGCUGGAGGAAGGUGGGGAUGACGUCAAGUCCUCAUGGCCCUUACGUGUUGGGCUACACACGUGCUACAAUGGUAUCUACAACAGGAAGCAAAACAGCGAUGUUAAGCAAAUCCUUAAAAGAUACCUCAGUUCGGAUUGCACUCUGCAACUCGAGUGCAUGAAGCUGGAAUUACUAGUAAUCGUGGAUCAGCGUGCCACGGUGAAUGCGUUCCCGGGUCUUGUACACACCGCCCGUCACACCAUGGGAGUUGGUUCUACCUUAAGGCAAGGUUUAAUACCCUUGACCACGGUAUAGUCAGCGACUGGGGUGAAGUCAUAACAAGGUAGC
This 1435-nucleotide ribosomal RNA is filed under the name uncultured bacterium. Its description in RNAcentral is "bacterial SSU rRNA". It matches the Rfam family "Bacterial small subunit ribosomal RNA". The record is from RNAcentral.